CCAGAAAGAGGGACAUUAUACAAACAGAUGUAAAGACCCACUAACAACAGGUGUGAACGUAUCUACAAAGCUGGAAAGAAUCCAGUUUCAACCAAGUGGUGUAUCAGAAAAAGAGGCCAUCCAAUGUUGGUUUAUGUUUAUUUUCCACUGACCCUAUCCUUGACCAUGUCUCCAUCUAAAUAUGUUCCAGCUCAUGCGACGUUCCGUCACCAGAUAUAUGGACUAUAAGGCAAUUGCCCAACAAAUGGCCCAAGAAGUUUUAGGCUAUAAUCAAGAUACAUCAGGCUGGAAAGUGGUUAAAACUUCAAUAUCGUGUUGAAGGGAUAAUUCCAGAAUCAGCAGCUAAACUAUCUGAUUUCCUCUACCAAACUGGAGGCAGAGUUACAUGGGAUAAAUCAUUGCAAGUGUAUGAUAUGGUACACAGGAUUGAUUCGGUAAUUUGUUGUUUUAAUACUAGACUUUUAGUACAUUAAUAUGUUUUUAGUUUAUACCUUAGUGAGUUGAGUUUAUUAAAACUAUGUUAUGUAGACAAAGUAUUUUAUAGUUUCAAAUUGACUUGAAGUCUUUAUAAAAGCCUUAAAAGUUCCCUCUUUAUUUUCCAAGGGUUUAAUUCUAAUUAGCUUUAUUCUGCUUGUAAAUGUGUAUUACAUUUUGAAUCUGGUAAGCUCUCUUGCAAUGUGUGCCAUUUGUUAUAAGGGAACAGAACUCAGGGAUUCACCUCCGUUCCAUGGAAAACAAAGGUUAAGUAUGCCCCCUUGAUGGGAAGUCUAUAGACCUAUUUUAGUUAUGUUACAUUAGGUAUUAGGAAACUUACAAUCAUGGCAGAAGGGGAAGCAAGCACAUUUUACCAUGGCAAAGCAGGAGAGAGAGGAAGCACGGGGGAGAUGCCACACACUUUUAAACCAUCAGAUCUCAUGAGAACUCACAUCACAAGAACAGGAGCAAUGCAGACACAUACCAUAAGGACUUAAAGAAAAGCAGCAUGUAAUGUUUAAGAGUAAGUGUAUGAGACCGUUCUCACACUGCUCUGAGGAAAUACCCAAGACUGGGUAAUUUAUAAAGGAAAGAGGUUUAAUUGACUCACAGUUCUGCAUUGCUGGGGAGGCCUCAGGAAACUUAUAAUCAUGGCAGAAGGCAAAGGAGAAGCAGGCACCUUCUUCACCGGGCAGCAGGAGAACAGCAUGGGGGAAACUGCCCCCAUGAUCCAAUUGCCUCCACGUGGUCCCUCCUUUGACAGGUGGAGAUUACAAUUCAAGGUGAGAUUUGGGUGGGGACACAGAGCCAAACCACAGCAGUAAGGAUAAAGUAAGGAAAUAACAUUAUAUAGAAGGUUGAAGUUUAGGAACUCUUUCAAAUAUGUUAUCUCAGUUAAACAGAUAUAAAGAGGGAAAAUAAAAGAAAAAACACAAAGGUAACUGGAGUAGAAAGUUAAAGAUACAGUUGAGAGAAGAGAAAAUGUGAGAGACAAGUAUGGUUUAGGGAGAGACAGAAGAAAGGAUCAGUAUGAGGUAAGGGCAGAAUGAAAGCUCAGGUGCAGAAAAAAUGAAUGAAAUGACAGGAAUAAUGAUACACGGUAAAAAGAGGUUGUAUUAGUCUGUUUUCACACUGCUAUAGAUAACUACCUGAGACUGAAUAAUUUAUGAAGAAAAGAAGUUUAAUUGACUCAAAGUUCUAUAGGCGUCACAGGAAGCAUGACUAGAAGGCCUCAGGAAAUUUACAAUCAUGGCAGAAGGUGAAGGGGAACACCUUGGCAUGAGAUAACAGGUAACUCUCUUGUUUCUUUGGCAGAAAAGGAGAGAGAGGGAGCUAAGGUGGAAGUGCCACAUACUUUUAAACCAUCAGAUCUCAUGAGAACUCAUUAUCACGAGAACAGUGAUUUGGAAGUCUGCCCUAUGAUUCAGUCACCUCCCACCAGGCCAAUCCUUCAAUUAAACAUGGUAUUUGGGCAGGGACACAAAUCCAAACCAUAUUAGAAGUAGCAACAAGGAUGAAGAAAUGGGAUAAGUGAUUCUAAACUUUGGUCCAGCACACUGUAGAUAUCGCAUUUAUUUAUUAAAGCCAUUAUAAAAAUAACCACCUGGAGGGAUGGGGGAUGAUUCUUCUCUCCUCCUGUAAUGUAUUAAAAUUCAUUCCCCAUUUCUGUUAUUAUUUGUGUUUUCUCCCUCUCAGGAAAUCUGUUUGUGGGGGAAUCCUGACUUUGUUCCAACCUCUCCCAAACUGAUGUGUAUGUUCUUUUGACUAAUUAAUUCACUUCACUAAUACUUUUUGAGCAACUGUUGUGAACAACAUGCUGUUUCAGGCACUAGGGACAUAUAAGGGAAGAAGAAGAAAUUGUCCCUGCUUUCACAAAACUUAUAUUCUCAUCAGAAGAGACAUAAUAAAUAAACAAUUUUUUAAAACUUACCAUAUAAUGAAGGCUAGGAUUGGUAUGAGUAUUAUGAAGGAUAAUAGUAAUAUCCUUAUUACUAUUAAUAACAAUGGUAAUAACCAGGAGAAGCUAAUUGAUAGCUAGAGAAUUGGGAAAGGCCUCUCUGAGUAAGAGACAUUAGAAACCUUGGUAACAAAAUGGAGAUUAGGGAGAUAGACAUGCAAAGAUCUGGGAGAGAGUAACAGACAUAGGGGAAAGCAAAUGCAAAGGCCUUGUGGUGGAGAGUUUGGCAGUGUUCAAUCAAGAGGUAAACAAGGUCUAUGGGGUUUGACCAUAAAAAGCAAGAAGAGUGGUUACGAGGUGAGAGGUUAGGCUUGGAUCAAAUUCUGCAAGAGUCUUAAAGGUCAGGGGGAGAAGUUUUGCUCUACAUUCAGUGGGAAGCCAUUGGAGUGUUUUAAGCAGGGAAGUGACUGAUUUGAUUUACACUUUUGAGAGACAGCUGCUGAAAGAGCAUGGAUUGUAAGGGGUAAGAAUGAAAUCACCAAGAAUAGUUAGGAGGCUAUGAGAGUAAGCUAAAUGAGACAUCUUGGUGACUUGUGCUAGGAUGAUAGAUGUAGAGAUGGAGGUAAGUCAGGGAACCCAAAGAUAUAGAGAUAGAGUCAAUAGGGCUGUCUGAUACAGGGAGAGAGGAAUCAGGUAAGUUUUCUAAAACUGGAUUGUGUUGUAAUUGCACAAAUACAUUUCCUUUAGGAAACUCAUUGAACUGUAUACUUAAAAUAGGUGAAUUUAUGGUAUGUAUAUUAUACUCAAGCUGUUUUUAAAAAUGAGUCCUAGAUUUCUGGCUAAUAAAAACUUUAUUUAAAAGAGAUAAGAAAUGUGAAUGAUUGAAUAAAGGAAAUUUUUAUGAUUUUCACAAAUAAUUGUAUUUGUAAAAUUUCAGAUCACUAGGCCUUAGGUUCUUUAAUUCUGCAAUCUGCAUUCAUUUAUCAAAGCAAACAAAAAUAAAUAAAUAAGCCACAUAUCUGCCAUCAUUUUAUCAUUUACUUAGAAUUCUGUAGUUUUACCUACUUUUAUUAAACUGAUCUUAAAAUCUGGGAGAGAAGAGCUGCAAAAAAGCCCAUGAAGGUGAAUCUGUUUCAUCUUGUAGAAAGUUCUUGAUCUUCAUCUUAUCAAUCAGUUUUAUUUUGUAGAGAGUAAGUUCUACACAAAAAACACAUGUCCAUGACCUUGGGAUUUGAACAUUCAGUUUGAGAACCAAUGGACAUCACAAAUGAAAAUCCCGAAAUUAAACUAUUUCAUUUAUCUUUGUGUGAUACUAAUCAUACAGUUUGAUUAGUGCUUCAGAUAUUUCUAUUGUUGCAAAUCAUACGUUAUAAUAGAAUACUAGAUGUGACAUCCAAAAACGUGAAAACAAACUCAGAGAUUAUGUGACUUACUCAAGGAUAAUGCAGCUAGUAUGUGGUAGAACCAGGACUUGUACCCAGUCUCCUAAUUCCAAAUUUUGUGCCCUUUCCAGUAUACCAUGUAUCUCUGAAUAGCAUUAUACUGCAAGAGGAAUUAUUUUACCCUUCUGUUAAUAUUUAUAGUAUUCAUCUCCAGGACUAUGUUUUAUUUAGUUAAUUAUUUUUAAAAUAAUAAUCAUUUUUUUAGAGAUAGGGUCUUACUCUAUUGCCCAGGCUAGAGUGCAGUGGUGUGAUCAAAGCUCACUGUAGCCUCAAACUCCUGGGUUCAAGCGAUCCUCCUACCUGAGCCUCCCAAGUAGCUGGAAUUACAGGCAUGUGCCACUAUGCCUGGUCAAGGAUGUAUUUUAACUGCCUCCUCUUCAACCUACUGGUGAGAGAGAGAGUCCCACUCUAGGGUUAUAGGGAUGGCCAAAUACAUAAUACUCAUUACUGGAGAAGUGAGGUAUACUGAAGUUUAUUAAUCAUUAAUCACAGACCAGGGAGGGAGGACAAACUAUGCCACACACGGCAACAUGGGAACAGAAUGAAUACCUACGGGCUGUGGGAGGCAGCCUUUGCAUCAACAGGAUAGGGUGAGCCCCAGUUCUUGCAGGAGAAUGUGAUUGACUUGUUUGAAUUCCAUGGGCCAUCAGGGAGAUGAAACCACUAAACAGAAAUAAAAAAUAAUAACUGUGCUGGUCCUGUUGAGAAGCAGGAUUGUUUGGCUAGGGUAUUUUAUCUGCAGGAAUGAAGAAGGAAAGGAAUGUGCAGUUAGGCCAUUCAGGACCCUCCUGGUUUCACCCUAUGCUGGUUUUACCAGCAUAUGAUACUGGGCUUUAAUUUUAGACCUUACCCCACAGGGUGCUAAAUCUAUGUAUUUUUUAAAAUACAUUACUUAGCCUAUGUGGAGUAGCAGAAGUAGUACUGUAUGGGGAAUCAGGAAGCCUGGGUUCUAUUUCUGUACUUAUCUCUAGUUGUGCAUGUGAUUUAAUUUGUUAGGCUUCAAUUUCUCCAUCUAAAAAUGGAAAGAGUAGAUGAUCUCAAGAUUGCUUCUUGAAUUUUCUAUACUCAUUGAUUUAACGCUCCUUUAACAUUCAAAAUCCAAGCUGAUUUGCUGAUAAGGUCUUAAAAUUUCAAAGUCCUGCUUUUUCCAAAUAGAGGCCAAUCAUAUGCAAUAAAAUUUGGGAGGGAAAUGAAACAUAAUAGAUACUAAAUAAUUGUUGUAAACUUUAUGGUUUGAAUUGUUGCAGGACACUUUCAUAUGUCAUACCAUUACACAAAGUUUUGCUAUGGGCUCCAUUUCUCCUCGAGACUUUAUCGACUUAGUGUACAUCAAGUGCUACGAAGGAAAUAUGAACAUUAUCAGUUGUAAGUUGAAACAUUUUGCCCAUAUCUUGGAAUUACUAUGAGCCAUUAAUAAGUGUUUUCCAGAAAUAAAAAGAAAAUAAAUGUUUUCCCUUUAUUCAGAGUUUGAAAGAAAUCAUAUUUAUAAUUACUGACUUUUAAAAUGUACUCAGUGGGAUCAACAAGUACACAUAUCAUAUAGACAUGUCUGGGGACACUCUGAAGGUCCCAUUUAUGUAACAAUCAAUGUUUACAACAUCUCUUAGACUUCCCCAGCAUACAUCCUGUAGCACAGGGUAUAGACAGAUACUUGUAGCCUAAAACAUCAAGGUAUACAUUUUUUAAAUCCUAAGUAACAAAAUUAACUGUUAGAUAUAAUUUUAUAUUUGAAUUGCUUAGAAUGGGCAUACCCAGUAGCUGAUAAAACUGUAAAAGAAAUUUCCACUAGAUGGCUCUUCAUAUAAAUGUGCUUAUAUUUCUUUUAGAAACUGCAGGUUUUGAUAUAUCCCUAUUCCCAUUCCCAAAUGUGUCACUCUGUAAAAUGCAAAUAUGUAAUCAUUUUCUAAUUUGCAUUAUUUGAUCAAACAUACCAUUUCAUACCAUAAGGAUCUACAGACUCAGAUAAUUUAAAAUAACUCAUGGUGAAGGAAUUUUGGUAGCACAGUGGCAUAGAGCCCUUUUUUCUCUAUGAUUUGAAUUAAUUUCACCAUUCCUAUCUGAAUAGUUUCCCCUAUUGUAAAGUACUUGGGAACAGGGACAAUUAAGUUUUAUUAAUUAUUAUUUCUCAACAAGAUUUCACUUCCUCCGAGGUAUCUUUCAUACUCUUAAGUUUCAGAGUCCAGAUUGAGUUGCAGCACUCAUUCAAACCCAGUUAGCUCUUUCUACAGCAUACCACUAAGGGCUGAUGUUCACAAUGUUCAUAUAUGUCUAAUUGUCUUGUUUUUGAAAUGAGGGUACAUAUAAUGUAUUCACUGCCUGCAACAUAAAAUAGUCUGCCUGAACAGAGGGUAGAUCUGUUAUUUUCCACAUUUUGAAGCAGACCAUUACUAUAUAAUUAUUAGUGAUCAGAGGGAAGCUAAAAAAGAAGUAGAGGUUAAAAUCGACAUUUAGAGGUAAUCAAUCACGUGGUGCACAAAUCACUACUGAAUUUUCUGUAAGAAGUUUCCGUUGAAUGAAUUUUUGAUCAAUACUCAUGGUUUUCUUAAGGUUUCUUUCUUUUUUUAAUUCUACUCUACAUGUUGCUUUAAGCUAAAUAUUUUGCUUGCAUUAUGUCACUAGAGAGGAAACUGAAGUUCAUGGAAAUUAAGCGGUUAAGAAAUUAAGUUACAUAGCUAGUAAGCAGCUAAACCAGAAUUAAAACUCAGAUCUUUCUGAUUUUCCAAAAUAAGUGCUAACUACCACACCAUAUGCUUCAUAAAAGACCCAUACCUGCUUGUAGACUACAACAGAUUUUUUAAAAGAAGACAAGUAUAAUUUCCAUAUUUCAAACAGAGAAAAAAUCUUUUAUAAUAACAUCACUUCUGGCAGUACUAUUAUAGGCUCUGUUGAGAUAAUAAAUAAAUCAUAAAAAUGGAAAAUUCAUUCAACUACUCUAGUCUCCUAAGUUAGUGUUUCACAUUGUAUUGAUUUCCUUAUGUAAAAUCAUAUCAGAAAAUCCAUCUUCUCUGACAAGAGCAGGAUUCAGUUGCACAGAAUAAACAAAUAUAUUUUUAGAAAUAUUUUAGAAACAGCAUAUAUAUUAUCAUAAAUUAAAUCAUAAACUACCCCCUCUGCAUUCAUAUACAAUACAGAUACUAGGUUGCAUAAUUCUAAAAUGAACUCUACUGAUUUUUAGUUAUGAUUUGAAGUUAGCUACAGGGAAUGGCAGAGGGAGUGUUUUAAACUAUCUUUAUUAACAGACCACCUAACCACUUCAAAUAUUUUAUUAAAAAAAAAAAAAAC
Molecule: RNA transcript, 7095 nt
Organism: Cebus imitator (Panamanian white-faced capuchin)
Lineage: Eukaryota; Metazoa; Chordata; Mammalia; Primates; Cebidae
Gene: STARD6
Gene name: StAR related lipid transfer domain containing 6
Exons: 3
Source: RefSeq, a predicted model, not a curated record